AUUGAACGCUGGCGGAAUGCUUUACACAUGCAAGUCGAGCGGCAGCGCGGGGCAACCUGGCGGCGAGCGGCGAACGGGUGAGUAAUACAUCGGAACGUGCCCAGACGUGGGGGAUAACUACUCGAAAGAGUGGCUAAUACCGCAUACGAUCUAAGGAUGAAAGCGGGGGAUCGCAAGACCUCGCGCGUUUGGAGCGGCCGAUGGCAGAUUAGGUAGUUGGUGGGGUAAAGGCUUACCAAGCCCGCGAUCUGUAGCUGGUCUGAGAGGAUGAUCAGCCACACUGGGACUGAGACACGGCCCAGACUCCUACGGGAGGCAGCAGUGGGGAAUUUUGGACAAUGGGCGAAAGCCUGAUCCAGCCAUUCCGCGUGCAGGAUGAAGGCCCUCGGGUUGUAAACUGCUUUUGUACAGAACGAAAAAGACUCUUUUAAUACAGAGAGUCCAUGACGGUACUGUAAGAAUAAGCACCGGCUAACUACGUGCCAGCAGCCGCGGUAAU
RNAcentral lists this ribosomal RNA (499 nucleotides) under uncultured bacterium. RNAcentral's name for it is "bacterial SSU rRNA". It matches the Rfam family "Bacterial small subunit ribosomal RNA", at positions 30 to 524 of the family's 1533-position model. The record is from RNAcentral.